CAAGUUUGUUACAGCCAUGAUAUAACAAGGAUGUUACAAGGUUGUCAACACAAGGUUGCAACAAUCUUGUUAUAUCAAGCAUGUAACAGUCCGUUACAUGCUUGAUAUAACAAGAUAAAUUACAAUUCUUAUCCCAUACCUGUGUUAAAAGCGGCUUUCUGAUUGGUUUAGAGCAGGUGAGCUUGUCGUCGAGCUCACCUGCUUUUUGCCGAGCUCACCUGCUUUUCGCCCGAACUCACCCGCUAAACUGCUUACGUUGCAAUAACAAUAACAAAUAUGGCGGACAAGAUUUAGCCGAUAAACCUAAACUUUAAAGAACUAUUUUCGGUGACUAACAUACUGAGACUGAAGAAAAACCAAAGAAAAAAUGCAGUAAAGGUAAUGUAGACGUAGAUAAAGAAGUAUUUUCUUGCCCAGUGAUUUUUUUGGCCGGGAAAAUGUUCACAAAACAUCGACGAGACGACGAAUAUAUCGCGAAGAGCUACAAAUGUGUGUAUGGCUCGGUCAGCCUCGGUGUAUGGGAUAAAAACCAAACGUACUUGC
This is a non-coding RNA of Paramuricea clavata, 543 nucleotides long. NCBI's taxonomy places the organism in Eukaryota, Metazoa, Cnidaria, Anthozoa, Malacalcyonacea, Plexauridae. The record is from the annotation of a GenBank genome assembly.